Molecule: small nucleolar RNA, 203 nt
Organism: Pipistrellus kuhlii (Kuhl's pipistrelle)
Lineage: Eukaryota; Metazoa; Chordata; Mammalia; Chiroptera; Vespertilionidae
Product: small nucleolar RNA SNORA74
Exons: 1
Source: RefSeq, a predicted model, not a curated record
UCCAGCAGUAGUCAGCUAUGCAGACAGAAUCAUGUCUGUGAUGGUGUUACACUGCUGGGAGAGGAAUACCCUGUCUUCUUUCUCCAGUCGCCUCUGUCACUGUUCUGACCACAGCUGGCACUGGGGCAAGGCAGAACUGUGCUUCCUUGAGAGCAAGCUAAGCAUCACUUUGGCUGCUUAGUUCUGGUGUGGGAGCAGACACA